UGGGGAAUUUUGGACAAUGGGGGAAACCCUGAUCCAGCCAUCCCGCGUGUGCGAUGAAGGCCUUCGGGUUGUAAAGCACUUUUGGCAGGAAAGAAACGUCAUGGGUUAAUACCCCGUGAAACUGACGGUACCUGCAGAAUAAGCACCGGCUAACUACGUGCCAGCAGCCGCGGUAAUACGUAGGGUGCAAGCGUUAAUCGGAAUUACUGGGCGUAAAGCGUGCGCAGGCGGUUCGGAAAGAAAGAUGUGAAAUCCCAGAGCUCAACUUUGGAACUGCAUUUUUAACUACCGGGCUAGAGUGUGUCAGAGGGAGGUGGGAUUCCGCGUGUAGCAUUGACAUGCAUAGAUAUGCGGGGAUACACCGAUGGCGAAGGCAGCCACCUGGGAUAACACUGACGCUCAUGCACGAAAGCGUGGGGAGCAAACAGG
This 429-nucleotide ribosomal RNA is filed under the name Acidobacteriota bacterium. RNAcentral's name for it is "Acidobacteria bacterium partial 16S ribosomal RNA". It matches the Rfam family "Bacterial small subunit ribosomal RNA", at positions 355 to 776 of the family's 1533-position model. Lineage: Bacteria; Pseudomonadati; Acidobacteriota. The record is from RNAcentral.